Phialocephala subalpina is the source of this 73-nucleotide non-coding RNA. The record is from the annotation of a GenBank genome assembly. Lineage: Eukaryota; Fungi; Ascomycota; Leotiomycetes; Helotiales; Mollisiaceae.
GGCUACAUGGUGUAAUGGUUCAGCACGUCGGAUUCUGAUUCCGGAGAUCUUGGUUCGAUUCCUAGUGAGGCCU